This 426-nucleotide ribosomal RNA is filed under the name uncultured bacterium. Its description in RNAcentral is "partial 16S ribosomal RNA". It matches the Rfam family "Bacterial small subunit ribosomal RNA", at positions 355 to 772 of the family's 1533-position model. The record is from RNAcentral.
UGGGGAAUAUUGCACAAUGGGCGCAAGCCUGAUGCAGCCAUGCCGCGUGUGUGAAGAAGGCCUUCGGGUUGUAAAGCACUUUCAGCGAGGAGGAAGGUGGUGAGCUUAAUACGCUCAUCAAUUGACGUUACUCGCAGAAGAAGCACCGGCUAACUCCGUGCCAGCAGCCGCGGUAAUACGGAGGGUGCAAGCGUUAAUCGGAAUUACUGGGCGUAAAGCGCACGCAGGCGGUUUGUUAAGUCAGAUGUGAAAUCCCCGGGCUCAACCUGGGAACUGCAUUUGAAACUGGCAAGCUAGAGUCUCGUAGAGGGGGUAGAAUUCCAGGUGGUAGCGGUGAAAUGCGUAGAGAUCUGGAGGAAUACCGGUGGCGAAGGCGGCCCCCUGGACGAAGACUGACCGCUCAGGUGCGAAAGCGUGGGGAGCAAA